Oncorhynchus tshawytscha (Chinook salmon) is the source of this 1500-nucleotide long non-coding RNA. The record is from Ensembl. Lineage: Eukaryota; Metazoa; Chordata; Actinopteri; Salmoniformes; Salmonidae.
GUAGUGCACUACUUCAGACCAGAGUGUCAAUAAGACGUAGUGCACUACUUUAGACCAGAGUGUCAAUAAGACGUAGGGCACUACUUUAGACCAGAGUGUCAACGGCUUUGAUCAGAAGUAGUGCACUACUUUAGACUAGAGUGUCAAUAAGACGUAGUGCACUACUUUAGACCAGUGUCAAUAGGAAGUAGUGCACUACUUUAGACCAGUGUCAAUAGGAAGUAGUGCACUACUUUAGACCAGUGUCAAUAGGAAGUAGUGCACUACACAGGGAACAGGGCACCAUUUGAGACGCUCGAAACCAAAACAUGAUUACACGGUGUUAAGAAAUGUAGAAAAAAACCAACACAGAAAUCCUUUUGGCAUGAGGAUAAAAGCCUUUUAAGCCAGAGAGGAGUGUAAAGUAAGGCAGUAACUGUCCUUCAUCAAAUUAUAUUAUUACAUAAACAACAUUUUGUUAAUCUAUUGAAUCCUUUUUGGUUAGUUUGUUGUCGCUUUUCACACAGGGGCUGUUGUUGUAUAAAUAUGACCAGUAUGUGCACUUUCAAACAUUCACGUUAUAUAUAAAAAAUAAACAUAAACAGUUUCACUUAGACAACAGCCACAGAAGACAUCACCAGGGAAACUGGGCUACAGUGAGAGAUGGCAGCCAUUUUGGAUCUGUUUUAAACAAGGGUCCCUCAUGUCCUUCAGGGGGUACCUAAGGUUUAUGCCUGAUUGAAAAAGAGCUUAAAUUUUCUUUUACUUCAGUGAUCACUUAAAUUAGAUAUAAACUCAGUAUGAGUUGUACAUUAAAUUGGUUAGCGAUUUAAGGUGUAUUUACAAUGUGGCUGAAACGCUGUUGGUAUUCAGCUGUUAGAAACAUCAAGACAGAUAGAUACUGGUCAGUUAGAGACAGUAGGACAGAUAGAUACUGGUCAGUUAGAGACAGUAGGACAGAUAGAUACUGGUCAGUUAGAGACAGUAGGAUAGAUAGAUACUGGUCAGUUAGAGACAGUAGGAUAGAUAGAUACUGGUCAGUUAGAGACAGUAGGACAGAUAGAUACUGGUCAGUUAGAGACAGUAGGAUAGAUACUGGUCAGUUAGAGACAGUAGGACAGAUAGAUACUGGUCAGUUAGAGACAGUAGGACAGAUAGAUACUGGUCAGUUAGAGACAGUAGGACAGAUACUGGUCAGUUAGAGACAGUAGGACAGAUAGAUGGUCAGUUAGAGACAGUAGGACAGAUACUGGUCAGUUAGAGACAGUAGAUAGAUACUGGUCAGUUAGAGACAGUAGGACAGAUACUGGUCAGUUAGAGACAGUAGGACAGAUAGAUACUGGUCAGUUAGAGACAGUAGGAUAGAUACUGGUCAGUUAGAGACAGUAGGACAGAUAGAUACUGGUCAGUUAGAGACAGUAGGAUAGAUAGAUACUGGUCAGUUAGAGACAGUAGGACAGAUAGAUACUGGUCAGUUAGAGACAGUAGGACAGAUAGAUACUGGUCAGUUAGAGACAGUAG